Molecule: long non-coding RNA, 1275 nt
Organism: Hordeum vulgare subsp. vulgare (domesticated barley)
Lineage: Eukaryota; Viridiplantae; Streptophyta; Magnoliopsida; Poales; Poaceae
Exons: 4
Source: RefSeq, a predicted model, not a curated record
CAUAAUUCCACAAGCCCACACCCGGGCACCUCUAUCCGGAAACCCUAGCAAGUUAGUGCAGCCGCCUCCAUCUCUCCCGAUCAUUCCCCACCCCGUCCAAUCCCAAUACACAUGUUCCAGCAGCCAUCGGUUUGCAUCCGGUCAUCAGGAGAGGCGAGGAGAUGCGGAUCCAGAAGGCAGGCCAUGGCGGCGGUUAGAUCCGUGCCGGGACAGGAUCUGCAUCUGGAGACCCAUAGCAUGGAGGGAGGAGACCCACGCCGUGGAGUUAUUCGUCAAGGAUCUGUGAUGGAGCGCAUGCUUAUUUUCCUCUCCACGGAUCAAGGCAUAUCCACUGGAUCCAUGCGCUCAGUGAUUCCCGAGGAGAACGCGGCCAUGGCGGAGGAAGACCGGCGGAAGAGGCGCGGGUUCGUCCGGCAAGAGGCGGUGGAAGACGUCCUCCAGGAGCUCGUCCGGCAGCGACGGUGCCGUCGUCGAUGGCGGCGGCGGCGGCAUUGAGGCUAGGGUUUCUGGUGUGGUGGGGGAAUCAUCAGAGGAGAAAGGGGCCUCGCUCAAGGAUUCUUCUCGGUUCAACCAGCGAACGCUCCGAGAAAGGAGAAUUGAGGCUAGGGUUUCUGGUGGGGUGGGAGAAUCAUCAGAGGAGAAAGGGUUGCAGCAUAAGCAUUACAUUAUUCUUGCACCUGCUUGUGACUUUGAGAUGAUUUGCCAAAGCUAUAGUCAACACAUGGCUGUAUUAUAGCCGAUGAGUUAGGUCUAAUGCCAUAGGUUUGCUUUCCUAAUUGCAGAUGUACAUGUAUAAACGGCUCCAUCACUAUGAUAUGCGUCGCCGCUCCUCCUAUACCUGGGCCGGACGGUAGCUGCCGGCCGGAGGGUUCCGCACUUCUUCGACACAUAGAGUGGUCAAAUGGCUUCGCCAAGGUACGUUCAUGUGCACUGGCGCAGGCCGAGCUUGCAUGGAAUGACGACCCGGUGCACGCCCUGUAUUGAUCAGGUUGGCGUACUGGCGGCAAUGGCAAGAGUAUAUUGUGCAGAGGAAGAGGAUGAGAAGAAACUUUUGAUUCUCAUCCAAUCUUUUUCAAACUAUCUUUAUGUGCGAUUGUGCACCUUUUGGGUCCUUUUUCUGUGCACUUACACUUGCAGAAGUAUUCUGGUGUACACAUGUAAAAUUAUUUUGAUGUGUCCUUGUUAGACGUUGAACCUUAAUGCAUGGAGUCAUUGGAUGAUGUAUUGUAUUUGAUGUGAUAUGCUACUAAAAUAAAAUAUACAUUUUAUUUGCAA